RNAcentral lists this ribosomal RNA (1459 nucleotides) under Staphylococcus aureus. Its description in RNAcentral is "bacterial SSU rRNA". It matches the Rfam family "Bacterial small subunit ribosomal RNA". The record is from RNAcentral. Lineage: Bacteria; Bacillati; Bacillota; Bacilli; Caryophanales; Staphylococcaceae.
AGAGUUUGAUCCUGGCUCAGGAUGAACGCUGGCGGCGUGCCUAAUACAUGCAAGUCGAGCGAACGGACGAGAAGCUUGCUUCUCUGAUGUUAGCGGCGGACGGGUGAGUAACACGUGGAUAACCUACCUAUAAGACUGGGAUAACUUCGGGAAACCGGAGCUAAUACCGGAUAAUAUUUUGAACCGCAUGGUUCAAAAGUGAAAGACGGUCUUGCUGUCACUUAUAGAUGGAUCCGCGCUGCAUUAGCUAGUUGGUAAGGUAACGGCUUACCAAGGCAACGAUGCAUAGCCGACCUGAGAGGGUGAUCGGCCACACUGGAACUGAGACACGGUCCAGACUCCUACGGGAGGCAGCAGUAGGGAAUCUUCCGCAAUGGGCGAAAGCCUGACGGAGCAACGCCGCGUGAGUGAUGAAGGUCUUCGGAUCGUAAAACUCUGUUAUUAGGGAAGAACAUAUGUGUAAGUAACUGUGCACAUCUUGACGGUACCUAAUCAGAAAGCCACGGCUAACUACGUGCCAGCAGCCGCGGUAAUACGUAGGUGGCAAGCGUUAUCCGGAAUUAUUGGGCGUAAAGCGCGCGUAGGCGGUUUUUUAAGUCUGAUGUGAAAGCCCACGGCUCAACCGUGGAGGGUCAUUGGAAACUGGAAAACUUGAGUGCAGAAGAGGAAAGUGGAAUUCCAUGUGUAGCGGUGAAAUGCGCAGAGAUAUGGAGGAACACCAGUGGCGAAGGCGACUUUCUGGUCUGUAACUGACGCUGAUGUGCGAAAGCGUGGGGAUCAAACAGGAUUAGAUACCCUGGUAGUCCACGCCGUAAACGAUGAGUGCUAAGUGUUAGGGGGUUUCCGCCCCUUAGUGCUGCAGCUAACGCAUUAAGCACUCCGCCUGGGGAGUACGACCGCAAGGUUGAAACUCAAAGGAAUUGACGGGGACCCGCACAAGCGGUGGAGCAUGUGGUUUAAUUCGAAGCAACGCGAAGAACCUUACCAAAUCUUGACAUCCUUUGACAACUCUAGAGAUAGAGCCUUCCCCUUCGGGGGACAAAGUGACAGGUGGUGCAUGGUUGUCGUCAGCUCGUGUCGUGAGAUGUUGGGUUAAGUCCCGCAACGAGCGCAACCCUUAAGCUUAGUUGCCAUCAUUAAGUUGGGCACUCUAAGUUGACUGCCGGUGACAAACCGGAGGAAGGUGGGGAUGACGUCAAAUCAUCAUGCCCCUUAUGAUUUGGGCUACACACGUGCUACAAUGGACAAUACAAAGGGCAGCGAAACCGCGAGGUCAAGCAAAUCCCAUAAAGUUGUUCUCAGUUCGGAUUGUAGUCUGCAACUCGACUACAUGAAGCUGGAAUCGCUAGUAAUCGUAGAUCAGCAUGCUACGGUGAAUACGUUCCCGGGUCUUGUACACACCGCCCGUCACACCACGAGAGUUUGUAACACCCGAAGCCGGUGGAGUAACCUUUUAGGA